GGUUUCUUAGUCUAGUGGUUAGGACAUUCGGUUUUGAUCCGAAGAACCUGGGUUCGAACCCCAGAGAGACCU
This 72-nucleotide transfer RNA is filed under the name Talaromyces marneffei ATCC 18224. RNAcentral's name for it is "tRNA-Gln (TTG) (tRNA-Gln-TTG-2-1)". It matches the Rfam family "tRNA". Rfam says of the family: Transfer RNA (tRNA) molecules are approximately 80 nucleotides in length. Their secondary structure includes four short double-helical elements and three loops (D, anti-codon, and T loops). Further hydrogen bonds mediate the characteristic L-shaped molecular structure. tRNAs have two regions of fundamental functional importance: the anti-codon, which is responsible for specific mRNA codon recognition, and the 3' end, to which the tRNAs corresponding amino acid is attached (by aminoacyl-tRNA synthetases). tRNAs cope with the degeneracy of the genetic code in two manners: having more than one tRNA (with a specific anti-codon) for a particular amino acid; and 'wobble' base-pairing, i.e. permitting non-standard base-pairing at the 3rd anti-codon position. Lineage: Eukaryota; Fungi; Ascomycota; Eurotiomycetes; Eurotiales; Trichocomaceae. The record is from RNAcentral.